RNAcentral lists this ribosomal RNA (460 nucleotides) under uncultured bacterium. RNAcentral's name for it is "partial 16S ribosomal RNA". It matches the Rfam family "Bacterial small subunit ribosomal RNA", at positions 338 to 795 of the family's 1533-position model. The record is from RNAcentral.
CCUACGGGUGGCAGCAGUGAGGAAUAUUGGGCAAUGGGCGCGAGCCUGAACCAGCCAAGUAGCGUGAAGGAUGACUGCCCUACGGGUUGUAAACUUCUUUUAUAAAGGAAUAAAGUGAGGCACGUGUGCCUUAUUGUAUGUACUUUAUGAAUAAGGAUCGGCUAACUCCGUGCCAGCAGCCGCGGUAAUACGGAGGAUCCGAGCGUUAUCCGGAUUUAUUGGGUUUAAAGGGAGCGUAGAUGGGUUGUUAAGUCAUUUGUGAAAGUUUGCGGCUGAACCGUAAAAUUGCAAUUGAUACUGGCAGUCUUGAGUACAGUUGAGGUAGGCGGAAUUCGUGGUGUAGCGGUGAAAUGCUUAGAUAUCACGAAGAACUCCGAUUGCGAAGGCAGCUUACUAAACUGUCACUGACAUUGAUGCUCGAAAGUGUGGGUAUCAAACAGGAUUAGAUACCCGUGUAGUC